AGAUAUACAAUACAUGCACUGGAAACAAAACGCAUCAAAGACACCUGCUUCCGCUUGGAAAUGUGACAAACCACAUCCAGAGGAAAUAAAGGUUUUUCUGCAAUCAUUUUUGUUCUAGUCCUGUACUCCUUUACCUAAAAGAAAGAAAGAAAAAAUGCAACAAGGAGCAGUCGUCAUAUGGGACACCGGAAAUCAAACAGAUCAUGUGCUGGACCAGUACAAAGCUUUCAACUGAAUGUUCAGAAAGAAUAGAUUGAGGAGCAUGCAUGAACUGGCAGAACAGAUAUCUCCAUCUCAGGGGCCACUCUAUAUGCUUCUUAUCAUUAGGAUAUAAAUCAAGCAGGUACCCGAAUAAUCAAUUGGUUUUCGUCUAAAAUGAAUAAUGAAUUGCUAUCUCAUUGUGCAAUCAAAGAGAAAUGGACCCAAUUUACAGGUGGUCCUCUUAGUCAUCAGCCACUAACUGAAACAUGUCAGCAUGGCAGCAAACUGUGAUGUCUAAGCACCCUACACUGAUAUUACAAUCCCCAGCAAGUAGAGCAGAGAGAUGGCCCCAGAGGAAUCAAAUCAAGAUCACAAUCGCAUAUAUCUUGGCUUUACACUUGCAGUUAGCAUUGCAUGUUCUGAGCUCAUGGUUCUGUCCCUUGCCAACUUGUCAUAAUAGCUGCACCUGAACUAAACUGCAUGAUGCUACUCUUCUCUUCUCCCUCGUCUAUAAAUUCAUCUGCUUAGUAGUUAGCACCACCAUCUCAUCAUCAGUUCACCCACAAGCCAAGCACUACAACACCUAGCUGAAUAUACAACCUGACACAAAAGUUUCUCUGAACUUUCAGCCAAGAAAUUCAGAAGGAGAAGCAACCAUGGUUAGUGCGAAGAGGCUUGCUCAAAUGGCAAAGAAGUGGCAGAGAAUGGCAGCCAUGGGGAGGAAGAGGCUCAAGCGGACGACAUCGACAAGAGCAGCCGACGAGUGCUGCACGACGUCAUCGGUGGCGGUAAAGGGCCACUGCGUCGUGUACACCGCCGACAGGGGUCGGUUUGAGGUGCCGUUACAGUACCUCGGCACGGCCGUCUUUAGUGAGCUCCUGAGGAUGUCUCAGGAGGAAUUUGGUUUCGCAGGCGGCGAUGAUGGCCGGAUCACGCUGCCCUGCGACGCCGCUGUCAUGGAGUACGCCAUGUGCUUGCUCGGGAAAGAUGCCUCCGCGGAAGUCGUGAAGGCCUUCCUGAGCUCCGUCGCGACGCCCUGCUGGUUUGACGGCGGUGUGGUGGCGCCAUGCGUAGGGUUUAACCAGCAUGUAGCCGUUUGCUAGCUUCAGAAGAAUGGCAGCUGCUACUGCUAGGAUCCUUGUUGUAGCCACCGUUUUGGUUCGACGCAAAGUGUAAAUAUGAAGUACUAGUUGGUUAGAAAUGGAACAGUUUUUUAACCGUUGAGGUAUAAAUGAAGGAACCUUCUUUCUCUGUCAGCUUAGCCUUUAUUGGGUGAAUUGGUUCAACCUCAAGGAAAACCACAUGAUCUGGCACCUUCCGCUACAUCGACACGAAGUACCAUAAACGGGGAUGCUCGGCAUGUCAUGCUGCUUCUCAUCACGACCAAGCCACCAAUCACCAAUGGCGCCGUCUUGUCUCCGGAUAGGACUUGCUUAGAGAUUUUUUUUUCCUUAUUUUUAUGUAAUAAAGUGGCACAUUUGGUACUUUGUGACUGUGUGAGUCCCGUGCGCACAAGUGGGGGGUUGAUGCCCUGUUGGUUAACUCGGUUGUAUCGCUUGAUAUAUAAUGUUGAGAUCAAUCUAUAAUCUUCUAUUUUCGAAAAAAUAAAUGAAAUGAGCAGCUCUAUUGGACCAAAUUUCUCGGUUAGAACCUGAGAUGCAGCGUAUUUUGUUUGUGAACAUAAGGCUAACAAUUUUUAACGAUAUGCAAAUUGUUCUAACCGUUCUUGCAAAUUCAAGCCUUUUUUUUCAUAUGGUCAGAAGACCGUAUUCUACUACUGUCAUGAAGAUAACGGAACAAAGUACUGAACCCAAGUUUCAACCCCGCACGGAAGUUUUUCACAUACCUGCCGCAUAUCGCUAACAAGAACACAAGCCAACUACCAAAAUAUUGUACUUCCUCCGUCCAACAAAGAUGUCUCAAUUUUGACUAAAUUUGAAUGCAUCUAUACACUAAGUCAUGUCUAGAUACAUUCAAAUUUUGACAAACUUGAGACAUUUUUUGUUGGACGGAAGCAGUACAUGUAAUGGAACUGGAGAUGCCCGAUUAACAUAUGGCCCACAUGCUGAUUCAGAGGGGAACUUGCCAGUAUGUCAAUGCAUGCACCCUUGGAUGUGAAACCAAUGAAGUAAGCAAAGCACUGGAACCUAGCAACUACUAGAUCAGGCAAUUAGCCCCAUCAAAAACAUGGUCAGAGGUUUCUCAAAAAAAAAAAAACAUGGUCAGAGAAAGUUUAAGCAUUGCAUUUGCACCUGCUCAUGGAUUUGCCCCUUCCUUCCCAGCUUGCCGCACUGACAAGUGCAUGCACUUCACCCAGCCUUUCCCCCAUCUUGCUUUUCCAUCGCCUAUAAAUUAAGGCACUGAAACAGAUCAAUUGCACUAUGACCAUCACUACCAAAAAACCAAUCAUCACUUUCUAAUUAUGCCAAGCAGAUUUGUAUGUUUCCAAACUGAAAGAACUCAAUGCGAGAUUAAAGGACAUGCAUGUACCAAAAUAUGAUCUCUAAAUAUAUGCAGGUUCAGAACUAAAAGUGCUGCGGAAAGCUGGACAACUCAAUGCUGAACAUGUAUGUCCAGAAGGAAUUAAUACAUGUGGCCUAGCAUUCUUAGAGAGUUUUCCAUUCUUGAGUUAUUCUUAUGUUUGCAUAAAUAGAUAUUUCUAAGAAACCAUACUAUAACUGGAAACAUCGCAUUUCAAAUAUAAUACAUGCAUGUAUUGAAACCAAACAGUCAACAGAAAGCCCAUCAGAGACAUCUGUUUCAGCUUGGCAACGUGAUAAAACCACUUUCAGAUGAAACAAACGUCGCUUUGCAAUCACUUUGGUGCUUACUCCUGUACCCAAAAUAAAUAAAAUGCAAGGAGCAAGCCCAUGUGAUAUGCCGGAAAUCAAGCAGGUCUAGUUUCAUCUGAAAGUGUACAGAGAAUAGAUAUAUUAGGGGCAUGAACAAUGCAUAUCACAAUGUGAGGAAUCCAUCAGGAGAAGCAAAUAGGUAGCGUAACUGAUCAGUGCUCACCGAAAUUGUUCAGUCCCUGAACCUGGAUGCCAUCGCUGUCUCCUUGCAAUUGCCGAUAGCCAUGAUCUCGGCACGCCUCUUGUUCUCAACGCGUUCAGUAUGGCAGCCACACAUGAUAAGAA
Molecule: long non-coding RNA, 3338 nt
Filed under: Brachypodium distachyon (stiff brome)
Lineage: Eukaryota; Viridiplantae; Streptophyta; Magnoliopsida; Poales; Poaceae
Description: long non-coding RNA (BDIS_LNC005255)
Rfam family: MIR1120/MIR1122 microRNA precursor family (bases 2091-2225)
Source: RNAcentral